This 245-nucleotide ribosomal RNA is filed under the name uncultured bacterium. RNAcentral's name for it is "partial 16S ribosomal RNA". It matches the Rfam family "Bacterial small subunit ribosomal RNA", at positions 524 to 768 of the family's 1533-position model. The record is from RNAcentral.
UACGUAGGGGGCGAGCGUUGUCCGGAAUCAUUGGGCGUAAAGCGCGUGUAGGCGGCUUGUCAAGUCUGGUGUGAAAUCUCGGGGCUCAACCCCGAAACUGCAUCGGAAACUGGCUUGCUAGAGUCCGGAAGAGGAGAUUGGAAUUCCUGGUGUAGCGGUGAAAUGCGCAGAUAUCAGGAAGAACACCCGUGGCGAAGGCGGAUCUCUGGGACGGUACUGACGCUGAGACGCGAAAGCGUGGGGAG